RNAcentral lists this long non-coding RNA (204 nucleotides) under Medicago truncatula (barrel medic). RNAcentral's name for it is "long non-coding RNA (MTRU_LNC004853)". Lineage: Eukaryota; Viridiplantae; Streptophyta; Magnoliopsida; Fabales; Fabaceae. The record is from RNAcentral.
CGUAUGUUCCAUCCAUCAUCAGGGAUGUAGCUUAUUGUUUCUAUUUCUUUCUCUUUAAGCAACCCGAGAGGUCCGACCAACUUUGGUUUUGAAGUCUUCACUAAAGACGGAUUUAAAGAUUGGAAGCAUGUAUCUCAAGGCUUGAAAGAUCAUAUUGGUUGUUAUGAAGUAUGCACAACUUAUGUAUCAAGCACUAUGAUGAUU